AUUGAACGCUGGCGGCAGGCCCAACACAUGCAAGUCGAACGGUAACAGGAAGCAGCUUGCUGCUUCGCUGACGAGUGGCGGACGGGUGAGUAAUGUCUGGGAAACUGCCUGAUGGAGGGGGAUAACUACUGGAAACGGUAGCUAAUACCGCAUAACGUCGCAAGACCAAAGAGGGGGACCUUCGGGCCUCUUGCCAUCGGAUGUGCCCAGAUGGGAUUAGCUAGUAGGUGGGGUAACGGCUCACCUAGGCGACGAUCCCUAGCUGGUCUGAGGGGAUGACCCGCCACGCUGGAACUGAGACGCGGUCCAGACUCCUACGGGAGGCAGCAGUGGGGAAUAUGGCACAAUGGGCGCAAGCCUGAUGCAGCCAUGCCGCGUGUAUGAAGAAGGCCUUCGGGUCGUAAAGUACUUUCAGCGGGGAGGAAGGCGAUAAGGUUAAUAACCCUGUCGAUUGACGUUACCCGCAGAAGAAGCACCGGCUAACUCCGUGCCAGCCGCCGCAGUAA
Molecule: ribosomal RNA, 506 nt
Filed under: uncultured bacterium
Lineage: Bacteria
Description: partial 16S ribosomal RNA
Rfam family: Bacterial small subunit ribosomal RNA
Source: RNAcentral